UACGGAGGGUGCAAACGUUGUUCGGAUUCACUGGGCGUAAAGGGUCCGUAGGCGGCUCGGCAAAUCGGUUGUGGAAUCCCGGCGCUUACCGUCGGAACUGCUGCCGAAAAUACCGGGCUAGAGGUCGUCAGGGGCGAGUGGAACUCCUGGUGGAGCGGUGAAAUGCGUAGAUAUCAGGAGGAACGCCGGAGGCGAAAGCGACUCGCUGGGGCGAUUCUGACGCUGAGGGACGAAAGCUAGGGGAGCAAACAGG
This 253-nucleotide unclassified non-coding RNA is filed under the name uncultured Planctomycetota bacterium. Its description in RNAcentral is "uncultured planctomycete contains 16S-23S intergenic spacer region". It matches the Rfam family "Bacterial small subunit ribosomal RNA", at positions 524 to 776 of the family's 1533-position model. Lineage: Bacteria; Pseudomonadati; Planctomycetota. The record is from RNAcentral.